UGAUUUCUUGGGAGUUGUUGCUGCUGUUAUGGUUGGAUUGGCAGUUGUCUUUGCCCUGAUCUUUGCCGUGUCAAUCAAGUCUUUCAACUUCCAGAGAAGAUGAGAGAAGGAAUCAAGGAAACACCCAACAAAGAAAAGAUAUCAAACUAUUUCUUACGAUUCAUGUAGUACGUAGUUAUGACGGUUCCAAACAAUUUUUAAUUUUGAUUCAUUGUAAACGUAUUUGAGUGCGUAUCAAGUCAUUGUGAAUUGCAUUGCAUGGAACUGAUCGUCCUAAGGUAACAAAGUUUCACCUCGUACAAGGAGACUAAUUAGCAUUAGCAGUUUCAUAUGUUUAGAUCUUUUCCUUAUUUCGAUGAAUAUCAGAUUUUAAUCCACCGUAAUCGAAACAGUCGAAGCCACUGUUAUUUACCAACUAAACUAGCAUCUGCAAAAUUCAUUACAACUAUCUGAUAUACAAAUUAUAAAAUGCAUCAAGAUACC
This 483-nucleotide long non-coding RNA is filed under the name Linum usitatissimum (flax). RNAcentral's name for it is "long non-coding RNA (LUSI_LNC002310)". Lineage: Eukaryota; Viridiplantae; Streptophyta; Magnoliopsida; Malpighiales; Linaceae. The record is from RNAcentral.